This 378-nucleotide ribosomal RNA is filed under the name Sclerophrys maculata (flat-backed toad). RNAcentral describes it as "partial 12S ribosomal RNA". It matches the Rfam family "Bacterial small subunit ribosomal RNA", at positions 794 to 1384 of the family's 1533-position model. The record is from RNAcentral. Lineage: Eukaryota; Metazoa; Chordata; Amphibia; Anura; Bufonidae.
GCCCAGCCGUAAACUUUUAUUUACAUCUAAAUCGCCAGGGAACUACGAGCUAAGCUUAAAACCCAAAGGACUUGACGGUACCCCACAUCCUACUAGAGGAGCCUGUUCUGUAAUCGAUAAUCCGCGUUUAACCUCACCAUCUUUAGUUAAUCAGCCUGUAUACCUCCGUCGUCAGCUUACCACGUGAGCGCAAAUUAGUGGGCCCAAUGUUAUUACACCAAUACGUCAGGUCAAGGUGCAGCAAAUGAGAUGGGAAGAGAUGGGCUACACUUUCUAUUUUAGAAAAAACGGAAAACUACCUAUGAAACCUAGUUGGAAGGCGGAUUUAGCAGUAAAAAGGAAUCAACACGUCCAUUUUAACUUGGCACUGGGGUGUGU